Molecule: ribosomal RNA, 505 nt
Filed under: uncultured bacterium
Lineage: Bacteria
Description: partial 16S ribosomal RNA
Rfam family: Bacterial small subunit ribosomal RNA
Source: RNAcentral
GACGAACGCUGGCGGCGUGCCUAAUACAUGCAAGUCGAACGCACAGUUUAUACCGUAGCUUGCUACACCAUAGACUGUGAGUUGCGAACGGGUGAGUAACGCGUAGGUAACCUGCCUGGUAGCGGGGGAUAACUAUUGGAAACGAUAGCUAAUACCGCAUAAUAUUAAUUAUUGCAUGAUAAUUAAUUGAAAGGUGCAAUUGCACCACUACCAGAUGGACCUGCGUUGUAUUAGCUAGUAGGUGAGGUAACGGCUCACCUAGGCGACGAUACAUAGCCGACCGGAGAGGGGGAUCGGCCACACUGGGACUGAGACACGGCCCAGACUCCUACGGGAGGCAGCAGUAGGGAAUCUUCGGCAAUGGACGAAAGUCUGACCGAGCAACGCCGCGUGAGUGAAGAAGGUUUUCGGAUCGUAAAGCUCUGUUGUAAGAGAAGAACGGGUGUGAGAGUGGAAAGUUCACACUGUGACGGUAUCUUACCAGAAAGGGACGGCUAACUACGUG